UCACAUACAAUACCGAAGAUAAGGACAGAGUUACCCUCCUUCUUCGCGACCGGAGAAGAUCGGCCUUCAAACAACAGAGAAACCCUAGGUAUAAAACCCUAGGUGUAACCUUGGAAAUCCUUACUGGAAAUGUGGUCAGGAACAUCGGAGAGGCACCCAAAAUGUCCACUGAGUGAGAAUCGAGCCACCGAAAAGCAGUAGAACCCUAGGUUAAACCACCAGAAACCCUAGAAGCCAAUAGGUCACCGAGAAACCACCCAAAAUCAGCAGAAAAACUCUCAGAAUGUUCGGGUGAAGAGAAUAUAAUCAAAUAUCAUGACGAAAUACUCGGAAAAACAUCCUAUCUAGGUCAAAACCAUCAUCGACCAUAAGGUCUCAGAAAAGCCCUAGAAAAUCUCAAAAAGAGUUCAACCAAGACAACGAGAUGUAGAGAAAUAUAAUCGGAUCGUCGUCUAGGCUCUGAUACCAUGUAAACGUUGAUAUUAGACCGAGAAAUCAUAGAAACUGUAGAGAGAGAAAAUAGAGCGUUUGGAACUCGCUGGAAUCAGAGAGAAAUAUUAUUACAGAACAAAUGAGAGAAAUAAAAUCCGGUAGGUGAGAAAACUAUCUCACCUACAUAUAUACAUGUUACAAAACAAGAUGUAGAGAAACAUAAUCCGAUCGUCGUCAAGGCUGUGAUACCAUGUAAACACUGAUAUUAGACCGAGAAAUCAUAGAAAUUGUAGAGAGAGAAAGUAGAGAGAAGACAGAGCGUUUGGAACUCUCUGGAAUCAGAGAGAAAUACUAUUACAGAACAAAUGAGAGAAAU
This 808-nucleotide long non-coding RNA is filed under the name Nicotiana benthamiana. Its description in RNAcentral is "long non-coding RNA (NBEN_LNC008599)". The record is from RNAcentral. Lineage: Eukaryota; Viridiplantae; Streptophyta; Magnoliopsida; Solanales; Solanaceae.